GUGAACCGUCCCAGCAACUUGCAGUACUGAGGGCUUCCAUUGGUUUUCUCCUCUGCUUCUCACUCUUUUGUGAUGCUAGAGAGGACCUUAGCUACAGUCACAGCGUAGAGUGCUCCAGCUCCGUGCCUUGUUCACUUGUGUAUCUCCAGCAUCAUCCCAGCUGCCAUGGAUGGAAAUGAGCUACAUGUUUAAUUCCCAUGCCAUACUAUCUCGUGCACAGAGAUGUUUGAAGAAACAGAAAAUGGUUGAAUUCAGUUCAAUUCAGGAGACUUUUCUCUGCACCAGCAAGAAAAACAGGCCUGUACCGUGUGGUGGCCUAGGAGCGCUGCAUCUUCAUUUACACCCAGGCUGGCCGAUGGUCUUCAACUCGCAAGACAUCUCACAUUGCUGGACAGCAAGACCUGGAAUGCUGUACUGAGUGGUGUUCAGUUGCAAUCUGGGUGCAGUAGACAAGAAUGUUGAGAUCUGGGACAAGAACCUGAUCGGCUGUGGAAAUGGGCUGAUGCACCAGUGCUUCGAUUCUGUGCUUUCGCAGUGUUCCUUUAAAUAAUUCUCCAAGUAGAACGCCUUCUCCUUUCCAGUGGUCCUAAUAGCUUCAUAAGUUUUAUCCUGCUUACUUCUAACCCUUUCUUUCCUUUGGAAAUCUUUUUGAUGACUCCAGGUGAUGAAUUCAUGGAGUAGUACUGUGUGUUUGGUACUUUCCCACAGACUCUCAGAUACCGCUGCCCAACGUGUGCCAGUGUCUUACCUUCCCACCCACUGGGUGUCACAUCUUUGAUCUGGCUGCUUGAGGGCUGUCUGUUCUCAGUGUUGAGGCAGCAGUGGGUGGGUGGGUGGGUGGGAAGGAGAAAGCAGCCACCAACUGGCAUACUCAGUCCCUAGAUAAUAACCCAGCAAUAGGGCUAGGCCCCAGUGAGAACAGUGCAAACCCUUCUGUCCCAGGGAUUCUGUGACCUCAGCUCUCUCUGUGUUGGAAUUGAUGCCAGAGACAUCCAACCUGGCGAGCUGCUGAUUGUGAGAUGUCAUCGGGCUUCAAGGCAGGCCCUCAGCUAGCCACAGGUGACAAGGGGUCACCAUCCAGCUCGAAGGAGGGGUGAGGCCCAAUGCAGUUGUCUGGGAUCUUUAUUAGCAUGGUUGCAUCCCCAGCAGCCACAAGAAUGAAAACCAGAGCCUAAAAGGUGCAAGGACACAAGACAACAGGCAUCGGUUGUAACUAUAUGAGAUUGAGCAUGCCCUGGGGUAGAAUUGUAUGUUGACUGUGGCAAAAAUUACUUCCAGGUUCCCCCACCAGCUGUUGAAAACUGAGCUCCUGAUAUAGUCCUGGGCUGGUCAGAAUUAGUCAAGGGCUACUGAAUGCUGAGCCUGCAGGCUAGAGACCCAUUUUCAGAGGGCUAGGAAACAGCUAGGUCUCAUCUUGUUAGGCCCUUGGAGUGAGGAUGCUAACACGUCGAGAGGCACACCCCAAAGACACAGUCCAGACCAACUGAUGCAAAAGCAAGAGGAUUUAUUCGGCGUCUGCGCAGACGGGCCUCCUGAACUUGGUAGUCCAGAGAGCGCCCCCAGCACAAAGCCACACGGUUUAUAUACCUGCAGCGACCAAUCAAAAGCACUAUAGUGUCCAUGCACACAGCAGUCCAAUCCGCGAGCUGAUCAUGUGAAAGGCAUGUGUCUUCUAUCCAAUCAGCUCCGGAAUCACAUGGGAGGCAUGCACCUCAUCGCCAUUUUGUUGUUUACUUCUUUAGCAGUUCCUUUCCUUGCCAGUGCCAUCUUGUUCAGCCUGGGGGUGUGGGGGAUGGGCGACGUCUCGCUCCCUUUGUUCCCCUGGAGGGAGAGCGGCGUCCCGCUUCCCACACCGUUAUUUGAGUAUUAGGAGGCAUACAAACUGGGUUAGGUCUUAGCACAGCCAGGCACAAGUGUCACAGCUAGCUAAGCAUAGGGUCCCUUAUUUUUAUAGCUGCACCUAAUUUUAGCUUUGGGGGAAAAAGUUUAGGGCUAUAAUUUUUAAACUUUAAUUUUAUUUGGUGCAAAGGUAACUUCUUGUUGUUAGUGGUAUUGGCUUAGGUCACUCCAUCUUGGUUUGAUUUUUAAGGUUCUUCAAUCUCAUGAGGUCACAGCUUGCUCAACUGCUCAGAAGGAAACAUCUCAGAAGUAUGUUUCCUUGACAAGGGAGUCUCAACUGUGGCUAUCCACUGGAAUCACCUGGGAGCUUUGAAAAGAAUUCCAAGCCUUGCUGUCACUCCCAGAGUAGGGUGAGGCAUGUGGGUACGGGGAGUGUCUCAAGCUCCCCAGGUGAUCCUCAUCUGAAUGCUAGGUGGAGAUCUCUGUCAUGUACCACUGUCCAUGUUCCCCAGUUUUGCAUUUCCUUGCACUCUGCUGAGAGCAGACACUGUGAGGCUUCCUGCCUGGCCAGCUCUGCCCUCCCUCCAGCCCCCAGUCCCCAGGAGUUGUAGGCACUAAGAGAAAUGGUAAGGUCUUGGUCUUGUACUUGUGUCUUCCCCAGGGCUAAACUACUUGGUCCUUAGCUCUUUCUCUCUCUCCUGUAUGCCCACUGUUCCAGCUUUCCGAUGGCCUUCAUCUCUGCUUACUGAUGAAAGCUCCACCUAGCUUUGUCCCAGCCUCCCUGAGCCAACUCUAAGACCUGUCAUCUUGGUUGGCCCUGCAGGUGAACCUGCAACUCCAGCAUCUCCUUCUGUUUCCGUGUCACUUGCAAAAUGUUCACUCUCCAUGCAAUUCUCUACAUGUCAGUCGGUUUCCCUUUCCUCUCCUUUGGUGUGUAUGACCAAACAGAUCAAAAUCAAGCCGAGCUUUCUGAACAGAUAUCAGUUAAACAGCAGCUGAGUGGACUCAAUUACCUUUCAGUUUCCUUCCAACUCUCACAUUCUCUGAUACAUUGCAAUUGAGGGCAAUAAAUAAAUAUAACAAAAUCUGCA
Molecule: long non-coding RNA, 2930 nt
Organism: Oryctolagus cuniculus (rabbit)
Lineage: Eukaryota; Metazoa; Chordata; Mammalia; Lagomorpha; Leporidae
Source: Ensembl